GAUGAAGAACGUAGCGAAAUGCGAUAAGUAAUGUGAAUUGCAGAAUUCAGUGAACCAUCGAAUCUUUGAACGCACAUUGCGCCCGGCAGUAAUCUGCCGGGCAUGCCUGUCCGAGCGUCAUUUCUACCCACGAGCGAGUCCAGCAUCUAGGUGCUGGGCCUCGCCCGGCGUUGGAGCACUACGGGAAGCCCUGUGCUGUCCCCCGUAGGCCCCGAAAUGAAGUGGCGGUCCUGCCGCGGCGCCCCCUGCGUAGUAUAACAGCUCGCUUCGGGACCCGGUGGAGGCCUGCCGUCAAACCUAUACUCUCUAAGUUUGACCUCGGAUCAGGUAGGGUUACCCGCUGAACUUAAGCAUAUCAAUAAGCGGAGGA
RNAcentral lists this unclassified non-coding RNA (370 nucleotides) under soil metagenome. RNAcentral describes it as "partial contains 5.8S ribosomal RNA, internal transcribed spacer 2, and large subunit ribosomal RNA". The stretch from base 1 to 120 matches the Rfam family "5.8S ribosomal RNA", at positions 35 to 154 of the family's 154-position model. The record is from RNAcentral.